RNAcentral lists this ribosomal RNA (425 nucleotides) under uncultured bacterium. RNAcentral's name for it is "partial 16S ribosomal RNA". It matches the Rfam family "Bacterial small subunit ribosomal RNA", at positions 354 to 796 of the family's 1533-position model. The record is from RNAcentral.
GUGGGGAAUAUUGGACAAUGGGCGCAAGCCUGAUCCAGCCAUGCCGCGUGAGUGAUGAAGGCCUUAGGGUUGUAAAGCUCUUUCAGUAGGGAAGAUAAUGACGGUACCUACAGAAGAAGCCCCGGCUAACUUCGUGCCAGCAGCCGCGGUAAUACGAAGGGGGCUAGCGUUGUUCGGAUUUACUGGGCGUAAAGCGCACGUAGGCGGAUUGGUCAGUUAGAGGUGAAAUCCCGAAGCUCAACUUCGGAACUGCUUUUAAUACUGACAGUCUCGAGUCCGGAAGAGGUGAGUGGAACUCCUAGUGUAGAGGUGGAAUUCGUAGAUAUUAGGAAGAACACCAGUGGCGAAGGCGGCUCACUGGUCCGGUACUGACGCUGAGGUGCGAAAGCGUGGGGAGCAAACAGGAUUAGAAACCCCGGUAGUCC